GGCGUCCGCCCCGUGGACGCCCUGACCAUAUGCCCUCCGUCCCGGCUACCCUGACGGCGUGCGCUCUCCCCGCGAGCCGCCGUGCACGCAUCCUGGGAGAGGCAAAGCCGACAGCCGUCGCACCCGAGGGAGCCCUUCCAUG
This 142-nucleotide small RNA is filed under the name Streptomyces longwoodensis. RNAcentral's name for it is "Streptomyces-metH RNA". It matches the Rfam family "Streptomyces-metH RNA". The record is from Rfam by way of RNAcentral. Lineage: Bacteria; Bacillati; Actinomycetota; Actinomycetes; Kitasatosporales; Streptomycetaceae.